GAAGGAUCGCAUUAUGAUCUUUUUUAAGAUCGGCGAUAGAUCAUUCAAGUUUCUGACCUAUCAGCUUUCGACGGUACUGUAUUGGACUACCGUGGCAGUGACGGGUAACGGGGAAUUAGGGUUCGAUUCCGGAGAGGGAGCCUGAGAAACGGCUACCACAUCUAAAGAAGGCAGCAGGCGCGCAAAUUACUCCAAUCCUGACUCAGGGAGGUAGUGACAAGAAAUAACAACACUGGAAAUUUUAUUUCUAGUGAUUGGAAUGAUGGGAAUUUAAACCCCUUUCAGAGUAACAAUUGGAGGGCAAGUCUGGUGCCAGCAGCCGCGGUAAUUCCAGCUCCAAUAGCGUAUAUUAAAGUUGUUGCAGUUAAAAAGCUCGUAGUUGGAUAUCUGCUGGAAGCAGCCAGUCCGCUCUUUUUAUGGGGUGUGCACUUGGUGAGUUCUGGCAUCCUCCUGAUUAGUUCUAUGUAAUUAUCACUUAAUUGUGUUAAUUGCAGCUAUAUCAGGACUGUUACUUUGAGAAAAUUAGAGUGUUUCAAGCAGGCUUAUUGCCUUGAAUACUGCAGCAUGGAAUAACAAGAUAGGAUUUCGGUUCUAUUUUGUUGGUUUCUAGGACUGAAGUAAUGAUUAAUAGGGACAGUUGGGGGCAUUCGUAUUUAACUGUCAGAGGUGAAAUUCUUAGAUUUGUUAAAGACGAACUACUGCGAAAGCAUUUGCCAAAGAUGUUUUCAUUAAUCAAGAACGAAAGUUAGGGGCUCGAAGACGAUCAGAUACCGUCGUAGUCUUAACCAUAAACUAUGCCGACUAGAGACAGGAAAACGUCAUCCUUGACU
Molecule: ribosomal RNA, 830 nt
Filed under: Sarcocystis sp.
Lineage: Eukaryota; Apicomplexa; Conoidasida; Eucoccidiorida; Sarcocystidae
Description: SSU rRNA
Rfam family: Eukaryotic small subunit ribosomal RNA
Source: RNAcentral